CAGCCGCCGCGGUAAAACGGAGGGCGCGAGCGUUACCCGGAUUUACUGGGCGUAAAGGGCGUGUAGGCGGCCUGGGGCGUCCCAUGUGAAAGGCCACGGCUCAACCGUGGAGGAGCGUGGGAUACGCUCAGGCUAGAGGGUGGGAGAGGGUGGUGGAAUUCCCGGAGUAGCGGUGAAAUGCGCAGAUACCGGGAGGAACGCCGAUGGCGAAGGCAGCCACCUGGUCCACUUCUGACGCUGAGGCGCGAAAGCGUGGGGAGCAAACCGGAUUAGAUACCCCAGUAGUCCCUGUCUCUUAUAC
This 301-nucleotide ribosomal RNA is filed under the name uncultured bacterium. Its description in RNAcentral is "partial 16S ribosomal RNA". It matches the Rfam family "Bacterial small subunit ribosomal RNA", at positions 509 to 807 of the family's 1533-position model. The record is from RNAcentral.